Macadamia integrifolia is the source of this 2322-nucleotide RNA transcript. It is a transcript of the gene named methyltransferase N6AMT1-like, with no coding region annotated. The transcript has 5 exons. Lineage: Eukaryota; Viridiplantae; Streptophyta; Magnoliopsida; Proteales; Proteaceae. The record is from RefSeq and is a predicted model, not a curated record.
UCUCCUUUGCAAACAAAUUAGGGUGGAGAAAAGGUCGAAAUGUAACAAACUAACAAUAGAGACUUUGGCGCUCUCUUCAUUCCAAAUCUCAACGCUCCGUAAGCGUCGACUUUCCUCUAUUCCUUACUAUUUCCGAGUUCCUUCCAGAGCUGCGUGUUUUAUCUUCCGUCGUGAGACCAGAAGGUUCUACUAAUGUGGGGAGUUGACAUGGAACCCAAGCUAGAAACCAAUGCCGUAAAGCCCACCCUGCCCUCCAUUGGAACGAAAGAAGAGGACCAACAGAAUAGUAGACCAGUCUCAUACAGAAUGUCUGCCAGAAGUGCCCAAAUUCGGCUUGUGAGCUCCCAUCCUGAGGUUUAUGAACCCUGUGAUGAUUCUUUUGCGUUGGUUGAUGCACUACUAGCUGACAGAAAUAACCUCUUAGAGCAUAAGCCCACAUUGUGCAUGGAAUUGGGUUGUGGUAGUGGUUAUGUGAUUACAUCACUAGCAAUCAUGCUAGGGCAGGAGGGUGCUGGUGUCAGUUAUUUUGCAACUGAUAUUAAUCCACAUGCAGUGAGAGUGACCGGGGAAACGUUGGAGGCCCAUGGGGUCCACGCGGAGGUAAUGUUGAUGGAUAUUGUAUCUGGGUUGGAGAGACGGUUGGCUGGUAUGGUGGACGUGAUGGUUGUGAACCCACCUUACGUACCAACACCAGAAGAUGAAGUGGGUCGCGAUGGGAUUGCUUCUGCUUGGGCAGGAGGUGAGAAUGGGCGGAGUGUCAUUGACAGGAUUCUACCCAUUGCAGACAAACUUUUGUCGGAAAGUGGCUGGUUGUACAUGGUCACGCUAGCUGCUAACAACCCCUCACAAAUAUGCCGUAUGAUGAGAGAGAAGGGCUAUGCUUCGCGGAUUAUUGUCCAGAGAUCCACUGAGGAAGAGAGCCUCCAUGUUAUUAAAUUCUGGCGGGAUACUGAAAUUCAAGUGGGAACUAAGGAGCAAAUCGCAGAAAAUAGAACUCCUUCAGUACUAAUGGAAUCUCUAUGGUCACAAAUUCCUCGCUUGGCUUUCUGGAGGAGUGGCAGCCGUGACAGCUAAAUGCAGGAAACAGGCAUGCUUCAUUUUAUUGUGUAAUUACUGGAAUUGUAGAUUCAUGGAUUUGUUUGUUUCUUCUGCAUUAUAUGGUGGUAUUGGUGGAUUCAGAUGUUCCUGAAUUCACCAGAAGUAAGUAAUUCUCUCACUGAAUAUUUAGAUUAUUUCACUGAGUCUGUUCAGCAAACCUUUGUUUGAGUUGUUUCCAAUACACAUUUGGGUAAGUAGGUGUAGUUCAUCUCUGUUUUGGGGGAAGGGGGGGGGGUCGUCUUAGAUGUAAAAUGACCCUCCCUAUGUUUUUAGAGUCUUGGAGAUUUCUAACCUGUAUGUCCCAUUCUAAUACUGUAUUUUUGGUCGUUGAUUUUGUUUGAGAAUGCCAAUUGGCUGGCUUUAGAAUUGUUCCAAAAAUAGCCCAAUUUUGUCUGAGUAUAUUCCACCUUUGAAUGCAAAUCACUCACAUGUGACUGACUAAACCAUAUGGAAGGUCAUUAACAAGAACAAAACGAGACCUUUGGAACAGUCAGUAUUUAUUUCUCAGUGUUGUCUAUUCCGUUUCCCUCCAUUCUUUCGAGUCAGGAACCGAUUUUUUCACUAAUCAACUUGCAAUUUGAAUGUUUUAAGGCAUAAAAUCAUGAAGGUGUCCCAGUAUGGAAUGUUAGAACUGCAAUUACAUAAUCCAGCAGAAAUAUUGAAAGGAAGCUAAGGUCCUUUCUGCUCAAGGGUAUCUCUCUGUUUUUUCCUUGGAGGAGAUCUGCCAAUUCAGUUGCCAGGCAAAUUUGCUGUGGGUGACAUGGGGUUAUCAAAAUCUGAGUUGCAUCAGAUAGCCAGGAUGAGAGCCAUCCUCUGUUGGAGCAUAUGAUGUUAUCAUAACAAAUGGUUCCUGAUGAAUCUAACUUGAAGGAUGUCUGAGAACUCUAUUGUUUCUGAAGCUUCAUCAGUCCCUGGGUUUUUUUUUUGUUGGUUCACCUGGGAGCAGAGUACAUGAUUAUGAAAGCAAUUUGGAGAACCCUAUCUGGUUUUUAAAAUGAAACUCUGGCGUAGACUGUGGGGAAGCUGCUCAGUUUGCAUGGGCUAUUAACACUUCGCUAUAUUAAGUUUGAAAUUAUUUUAUUUUUGUCAUACACAGGAUCUUUAAUAUGUUACUUAUUGCCUUGCUAUAGCUUUGUGCCAACUUGUUUGAGACAUAACAACUUGUUCGAGGCAUGGACAUUUUUAAGAUAACAUUGUAUAGGUAUGUCAAAAAGUCAUUGGCAA